CGGUUGGCAUUACCGACCGCGUCCGUCGUCGUUUCACCCAGCGUCUACAUCGAUCGGCGUCCGGCUGCAGCAGCUGUAGCUUGCAGCUGUCUACAUAAGCAUCACGACAAGUUAUAUCGUGCAUUCAUCCAUGGCAUAUUAUCAAGCAGCGGCAGCUGCCGCCGGCAGCCGGCUAGACGGUGUCUGGCAGCUGCUGCGUAGAAAACGCAUUAUUCACAUCGCAGGCACCCCUCGAGCAGAUGCGCGAUUGGCUAUAAUAUUAUUUUCUCUGUGCAGUCUGCUCCCAGCCAGCCGUCCUCUUGUUUGUUGUCGUUUACAUUAAACAUUUUGUCGUUCGGCUCGGACCAGGGUGGUUGUCGUGCAAUUAAUAUGAUUGUACUGCGACCACCUUGGUCUGGAUUUUGGACAUGUUUGUUCGCGUGCGGAAUCGAAUGCCGUUCAAAGUCAACAUCAAUGUUUCCUUACGUCAAUCGAUACGGGCGGAAGAGCAUUCAAGAAGGCAGUCAACCUUGGUCUGGACUUAGGACUGCCAAACAUUUUUGUUCGCGUGCGGAAUCGAACGUCCGGUGAAAGUCAACAUCAAUUCUUUCAUACGUCAAUUGAUAUGGGCGUAAGAGCAUUCAAGAUGGCAGCCAAGAUGACCCACUCAAUCUCAAACCUGAUCCAUUGUUUUCACAUUCUGCUGUGGUUAUGGUAAUUUAAUCCAAAACAAAUCCAUUUUCGUAUGCGUACCUACUUCAGAAAUAUAAUUACCCCGAUUCUGUAGCAACCCUACUCCAAGACUAACCGUUUUUAUAUACGUAUUCCAUGCAGUCUAGAUGUCUAUUGCUUCAGCCUUGGCACGUGUGUUUUUACCCGAUGGACAUACUGGCUAUGGGGUAGAAGUAUGUGUGCCAAGGCUGUGGCAUUUAGAUUGCUUGGCAUAUGUAUAUAAAAACGUCUAACCUUGUCGUUAUAUUACAUCAGAAGGCCACUAACUCGGAACAAUUAGAUUAUCUGAAAUAUGUGCAUGGAAACAGGAUUAUAUACUGACCUAAUCAUUCAAUUAAUAAUAAUGUUCUAUUCUCUACCUUUAUAAAAAUAAAUUGCCAUAGUUUAAAUAAUACAAUAAUUACAGUUUAUAAUAUAAAUAUGAUAAUAUUUUUUUUUUAAGUAAAACACAACUUGCUGUUAUAUUUUUAGAUAUUUGUAACAUUUUAACAAAGUUCAUAAUUAAACA
Long non-coding RNA from Metopolophium dirhodum (rose-grain aphid), 1219 nucleotides. RefSeq lists it as uncharacterized. The transcript has 3 exons. NCBI's taxonomy places the organism in Eukaryota, Metazoa, Arthropoda, Insecta, Hemiptera, Aphididae. The record is from RefSeq and is a predicted model, not a curated record.